Molecule: long non-coding RNA, 672 nt
Filed under: Meleagris gallopavo (turkey)
Lineage: Eukaryota; Metazoa; Chordata; Aves; Galliformes; Phasianidae
Description: lncRNA (ENSMGAG00000021758.1)
Source: RNAcentral
GCCACCUCCAUCUGUUUAUUUAUAGGCUGAGGGCACGACGGAAAGCAGGUCCGGGUAAAUAUCUCCCCGCGGGUUCUCGGAGCGCUGCUUCCUUCACAGGAUUUACAGCUUCAAAGGCUCUGCCUCAAAGCCUGCAAAUAUCUUUUCAUCAUUUCAGCUGCGGUCUAAUUACCCGGCUGGCCGCCAGCGCCGGCCUCCUCUCCCAGGAUGUUGCCCUGCACUACCCAGGGGGGAAAAAUGCUCCAGGCUGGGCUCUGCGCCGGCUUAGCCACGCUCGAGGGGAAAAGCAUAAUGGUGUGUCUGUGGGAUCCCAUUGGGAUCUGCUCUGCCAACAGGCUGCUGCAUGGGCCUCUGGGGAUCCUCUCUUCCUGCACCACCCUGGGGCUGGCUGUCCCCGUGUCUUCAGUGCCAGUGACCAGCAGGAAUGGGUGAAUCAGAAGCGUGAGAAACCUAUGGGGCAUCUCCCCUCCUCAUUACCCCGUGGUGUCAGGGCACAGUGAGUCCUCCAUCCAUCAUCUUGGCCAAUUUAGACUGGGAAAGCAACGUUCAACUGGAUCCAAAUCACAGCUGGGUGCGGGCGGUGGCAUCUCCAAGUGCACAUCCUUCUCACAGGACACGCAGGGAUGCUCCAUGCCAAGCAUCUGCCCCCAUGGCUGGGGGAAGGGAUGGGGG